Non-coding RNA from Sphagnurus paluster, 117 nucleotides. The record is from the annotation of a GenBank genome assembly. Lineage: Eukaryota; Fungi; Basidiomycota; Agaricomycetes; Agaricales; Lyophyllaceae.
GGCGGGUUAGCGUAAUGGUCAACGCGUUAGUUUCCGGAAAAAAAGUCGAGUUUGCAAGCCCGGGACUCGAACCUACCGCACAGCUAAAGAUUCCGGGUUCGAGUCCCGGGCCUGUCG